GUACUCACUUCAGCAGCAUGUAUACUAAAAUUGGAAUGAUAUAGAGAAGACUAUCAUGGCCCCUGCACAAGGAAGACACACAAAUUUGUGAAGCAUUCUAUAUUUUU
RNAcentral lists this small nuclear RNA (107 nucleotides) under Castor canadensis (American beaver). Lineage: Eukaryota; Metazoa; Chordata; Mammalia; Rodentia; Castoridae. The record is from RNAcentral.